Molecule: ribosomal RNA, 894 nt
Filed under: Clonostachys rosea
Lineage: Eukaryota; Fungi; Ascomycota; Sordariomycetes; Hypocreales; Bionectriaceae
Description: LSU rRNA
Rfam family: Eukaryotic large subunit ribosomal RNA
Source: RNAcentral
UAAGCAUAUCAAUAAGCGGAGGAAAAGAAACCAACAGGGAUUGCCCUAGUAACGGCGAGUGAAGCGGCAACAGCUCAAAUUUGAAAUCUGGCGCAAGCCCGAGUUGUAAUUUGUAGAGGAUGUUUCUGGCGACGCGCCUUCCGAGUUCCCUGGAACGGGACGCCAUAGAGGGUGAGAGCCCCGUACGGUUGGAUGCCUAGCCUCUGUGAAACUCCUUCGACGAGUCGAGUAGUUUGGGAAUGCUGCUCUAAAUGGGAGGUAUACGUCUUCUAAAGCUAAAUACCGGCCAGAGACCGAUAGCGCACAAGUAGAGUGAUCGAAAGAUGAAAAGCACUUUGAAAAGAGGGUUAAAAAGUACGUGAAAUUGUUGAAAGGGAAGCGUUCAUGACCAGACUUGGGCAGGUUGAUCAUCCGUGGUUCUCCGCGGUGCACUCUGCCUGCCCAGGCCAGCAUCAGUUCGCUCCGGGGGAUAAAGGCUCUGGGAAUGUGGCUCCUUCGGGAGUGUUAUAGCCCACUGCGUAAUACCCUGGGGUGGACUGAGGUUCGCGCUCUGCAAGGAUGCUGGCGUAAUGGUCAUCAACGACCCGUCUUGAAACACGGACCAAGGAGUCGUCUUCGUAUGCGAGUGUUCGGGUGUCAAACCCCUACGCGUAAUGAAAGUGAACGUAGGAGAGAGCUUCGGCGCAUCUCCGACCGAUCCUGAUGUUCUCGGAUGGAUUUGAGUAAGAGCAUACGGGGCCGGACCCGAAAGAAGGUGAACUAUGCCUGUAUAGGGUGAAGCCAGAGGAAACUCUGGUGGAGGCUCGCAGCGGUUCUGACGUGCAAAUCGAUCGUCAAAUAUGGGCAUGGGGGCGAAAGACUAAUCGAACCUUCUAGUAGCUGGUUUCCGCCGAA